CAGUAGCCGCGGGAAUACGUAGGGUGCAGGCGUUAAUCGGAAUUACUGGGCGUAAAGCGUGCGCAGGCGGUUCUAUAAGACAGAUGUGAAAUCCCCGGGCUCAACCUGGGAACUGCAUUUGUGACUGUAGAGCUGGAGUGCGGCAGAGGGGGAUGGAAUUCCGCGUGUAGCAGUGAAAUGCGUAGAUAUGCGGAGGAACACCGAUGGCGAAGGCAAUCCCCUGGGCCUGCACUGACGCUCAUGCACGAAAGCGUGGGGAGCAAACAGGAUUAGAGACCCCUGUAGUCCCUGUCUCUUAUAC
Molecule: ribosomal RNA, 301 nt
Filed under: uncultured bacterium
Lineage: Bacteria
Description: partial 16S ribosomal RNA
Rfam family: Bacterial small subunit ribosomal RNA
Source: RNAcentral